RNAcentral lists this small RNA (771 nucleotides) under Pan troglodytes (chimpanzee). RNAcentral's name for it is "processed transcript". The record is from RNAcentral. Lineage: Eukaryota; Metazoa; Chordata; Mammalia; Primates; Hominidae.
AUUUGUUGGACGAUUUAAGUCUCGUAAAGAACGAGAAGCUGAACUUGGAGCUAGGGCAAAAGAAUUCACCAAUGUUUACAUCAAGAAUUUUGGAGAAGACAUGGAUGAUGAGCGCCUUAAGGAUCUCUUUGGCAAGUUUGGGCCUGCCUUAAGUGUGAAAGUAAUGACUGAUGAAAGUGGAAAAUCCAAAGGAUUUGGAUUUGUAAGCUUUGAAAGGCAUGAAGAUGCACAGAAAGCUGUGGAUGAGAUGAACGGAAAGGAGCUCAAUGGAAAACAAAUUUAUGUUGGUCGAGCUCAGAAAAAGGUGGAACGGCAGACGGAACUUAAGCGCAAAUUUGAACAGAUGAAACAAGAUAGGAUCACCAGAUACCAGGGUGUUAAUCUUUAUGUGAAAAAUCUUGAUGAUGGUAUUGAUGAUGAACGUCUCCGGAAAGAGUUUUCUCCAUUUGGUACAAUCACUAGUGCAAAGGUUAUGAUGGAGGGUGGUCGCAGCAAAGGGUUUGGUUUUGUAUGUUUCUCCUCCCCAGAAGAAGCCACUAAAGCAGUUACAGAAAUGAACGGUAGAAUUGUGGCCACAAAGCCAUUGUAUGUAGCUUUAGCUCAGCGCAAAGAAGAGCGCCAGGCUCACCUCACUAACCAGUAUAUGCAGAGAAUGGCAAGUGUACGAGCUGUGCCCAACCCUGUAAUCAACCCCUACCAGCCAGCACCUCCUUCAGGUUACUUCAUGGCAGCUAUCCCACAGUAUAAAUAUGCUGCAGGAGUUCGCAAUCC